RNAcentral lists this long non-coding RNA (4021 nucleotides) under Equus caballus (horse). RNAcentral describes it as "lncRNA (ENSECAG00000047925.1)". Lineage: Eukaryota; Metazoa; Chordata; Mammalia; Perissodactyla; Equidae. The record is from RNAcentral.
CAGGAAAUUCAGGGUCAUGGAACACUUCGCUGGACCUGCCACAUUGGUACAGUUUUCACAGGUGCAGUGGUCGGGGGCAUGCCGGGGCGUCACAUCCAAAGGAAAAGACAAGUUUUGCAUCUUGCACCUCCCAUCACAAAGACAGAAGCGCAGAACAUGCUGAGGGCAUUUGAGUUCUGCAAACAGCAUAUCCCCUACCUGGGAAUACUGCUUCAACCAGAGCACCAUUCUAAGUUUAACAGCUUUGAGAAAGGACCAGGAAAAAGGCAGGGCUCUGCAUCAGGCCUGGGAUGCCGUGCAAGCAGCCCUACCACUUGGCCCGUGUGAGCCAAGAGGCCGUUCGGCAUUAGAGGUAUGGGUGGUGGGAAAAGAUGCCAUGUAGAGUUUUUGGCAAAUCCCAAUGGGAAAAGCACAAUGCAGACAGCCAGGAUCCCGGGGCGAGGCUAUGCCGUCUGCAUCUACAAUGUUUUAACAAUAGCUCUGGUGUGCUGUAGAGACCUAAUGAAGACAGAGCACCUAACCAUGGGACACCAACUGACCGUGUGACCAAAGCGGCCCAUCAUGACUGGGUUCUGUCAGAACCAGCACAUCACACCACGGGAUGGGCCAAGGAGCAAUGCAUCAUAGGACUGGAUUAGCACCUCUGGGAUUAAGCACAAGCAGGACCAGAGGACACACUCAAGCUGCACCAGCGCUCCACAUCACCGGCUGUUACUGCACCAGCACCUCCCCCUCAGCUCACACCUAUGGCCACACGGAGGAUCCUUGUGACCAGCUGAUUGAACAUGAAGGAGCUCAAGCUUGCUUCAUGGAUGGGCUGGUGUGCAUGUGGGUGCAAGCUGAAAAUGGACAGUGACUGCAUUACAGCCCUGUUCAAGGGUGGUCUUGAAAAACAAUGGUGAGGGAAAGCUUCAGGUGGUGUCCCUGGUCAUCCACUUGGUGUUCAAAGAGAAGUGGCCUAAGAUUGCACUCACAGGCAGUAUCAAAUGGCUUCACUGAAUGGGCAGGGGCCUAGAAGGAAAAAAACUGGCAGAUUGGCAACAAGAAAUUCUGGAGUAGACACGUGCAUGGACCUGUGAGAGGGCGCACACUGUGAAGAUCUUUGUGUCACAUGUUAGCAGCCACAAGAGGGAGGCACAAAGAAUACACGUAGAUAAAAUGACUAACCAGUUGAUGGCAACCAGCCUCUGUCAUCAGCCACUGCAGCGUUGGGACUACAGGCACAUGAAGGGAAGAGCCAUGGAGGCGAAUAUGGAGGCUAUGCAUGGGUCCACGAGCAUGGGCUCCCGCUUACCAAAGCUUUUCCAGCUGCUGCUACUGCCAAGUCGCUAACAUUCCAGCAGAGAGAGUGAUACUGAGUCCCCGGUAUAGCACCAUCCCUCAAGGAGACCAACCAGACACUCUGCAAACAGACUUCAUUGGACAUCUUCCACCUUGAAGAAACAGUAGUUCAUUUUAAGAUGCAUGGACACAUAUUCUGGAUUUGGCUUUCAUUUCUUGUCUGUAGGGCCUUGGCUAGCACCAUUAUCCAAGGGCUUUACAUAGUGUUAAAUGCACUGUCAUGGGAUCCCAUAUAACAUCACGUCAGACCAAGGAAUACACUUGUUCAGCAAAGGAGUUGUUGGAAUGUGCACGUGACCAUGGACUCCACUGGUUCCAUCUCAUGCUAAACCACCCAGAAGCUGCUAGACAGACAGAGCAUGGCCUAGAUGGACCUGUUGAAAGCUUAGCUGAUACACUAGCUCAAAGGUGAUACUUUGUGAGGCUGGACCACCGUUCUCCAGGAGGCAGGGUACACCUUAAAUCAAACACUUUUAUAUGGCGCUGUGUUCACAAUGAGUAGAAUACGUAAGUCUAGGAAGCAGGAAUUAGAAACAGGAGCGAUCCCGCCACCCAUCACUCCCAGUCACCUACUUGAAGAAUUUUACCUUCCUAUCCUCACAACACUGAGUUCUGUGGGUUUUGAGGUCCCAGCUUCUAGAGGGGGAGUGCUUCUGACAGGGGACACAGCCACACCCCCACUGAACUAUAAGCAUGGCUGAUCCUUGGGCACUUCUAGCUCCUUGCACCAAGGGGCCAACAGGCAAGCAGAGGAGUUGCUGUCUUGAAAGGGAUAACAACCUGAUCGUCAGGAACAGAGAGGGCUCUCAUUCUACACAGCGAAGGGAGGAAUAUGUGUAGAAUCUAGACGGUCUACUUAGGCACCUGUUGGUCCUCCCUUCUCCAACUUUGGAAGAAAAAUAGACUACAGCCUGAGAGGGACAUAAUGGCCAGGGGCUCCGAUCUCUCAGGCAUGAGGGUCUAGUCUCACCACCAGGAAACCCACCGAGAUCAGCAGAGCUGCAGGUUGAGAGUGAGGGAAAUCUUCAGUGGAUAACAGAGGAGGGAGAAGAUGAGUAUCCGUUGUCACCCUGAAACCAGCUGUAGCUUCAGGAUUUACGAUUUGCCCCACUACCCUUCCUCUCGUAAGUCCCCACUAGGAACAGAGGCUCACUGGUAUCUUGGAGGACCUUUUCUCGGAAACUAUAAGAAGAAGAGGAUCCAAGUGUUGCAAGGGGUGGACUGUAGUGGCUUCUUUGCUAAAUCGUCCAGAUUCCUACUCAGGAGGAUUCCUAUUCAGGAAUGAAGGUCUUACUGCCCAGCUGCUGGGAGUGCUGACAGAAGACGGCCCUCAGCUCUCAGCCUGUGGAGUUUGCUUUAUCUAAAGAAAACUGCCUGGUGCCCUGAAGAUCACACCUCCUUCCAGGGACAACUUGCACUGAAUUACGCUCUUGCCCUGAUUUAGGACACCUCUAAAAAGGCUACCCCUGCUCCAGUGCUCCAUAUGGGGUGGCUGAUGACUGCAUCAUAUCCCAGCUUCUCCCUCUGUCUAAUCCUGCGUUUCCCCUCUCCCUUCACAAGUAAUGAUCCCAAUAAAUGAGAUCACUGAACGACUUCACUGGGAACAUGGCCUACAACAGCCAGUAAAACUUGGGUUGUUACCAGAUGAGAUAAUUUUUAUUCAUAGGCUGGUGAGGUCUAUGAAUAAAAAAUGUUGGUUAUAAAAAGUAGUCAAUUUUCUUAAUACCAAACUAUAAUUAUGAGCCUCUUGCUAGUUGUCAGUUGAUUUUGAUCAAAUAUAUGUAGCAAAGUGAACACUUUUUGAGAAUUCCUAAAUACAUUCAGUCUGGGCACAUCUCACUUCAGAUGCCAGAUUCCCAACCCUGAUUUCAAUUCUAGAUUUGAAUUUUAGCCAUUUCGUAAAAGAGAAUGAAUUUUCACAGAGCUAGUAGAGGCCAGUGUUCCUCAGAGUUUUGAUACAUGGUCAGAAACUUCAGGAGAAUUUGUGGAUUCAUAUAUUCAUUUCCAGAAUCCUAAGGUUUUGUGCCUUCUUUGCAUGCAUAGCUUGUUUUCCAGCCCAAUCAGUUCUUGAAACUGAACCAUACUGAUAAAGCAGAUGUUUAAUAAUUCAGAUAUAUGCUGAGGUUUGCAUUCCAAGGCCAAUUGUAGAAACUUAAAAACAUGUCUCAUUUUUAUCAGACUUUAUGAAUCUUGUCUUGAAUUAUGACUUCAAAUCCACCCCAUAGCAGCUGUAUAAACUCCGUGGCAGUUUGGGAGGGGCUCGGGACAGAUCAGGAAAGUGGAGUCGGUGUGUUCCAGCUGCCAUCUGUCUGCUCACGUGCCCACUUCCAUCUGAGUGCCUGGACAAAUCAGCAAAGUGGGUUUUUCUUCCUUGCCACUUCAAGUUCAGGGCUUGUCUCAUCAGCAAGAAAGUUCCAUCUUGGGAGCCUUUGGGAAAAGAACAAGCUGUUUCCUCUGAGAUCUUUCAUGACCGAAAGUUACUGACCUGAGGAUGUAGUUCAGAGCGCCUCCUCGACGAGUUUGCACAAUCUUGCACUCUACUGCACUGACAGGGAGGUCUCCGCGCUCGACUGCGCGUGCCUCUGUAGAGCCGAUGUACCGAGUAUCAUUAAGGGGACAAGUAUAAAGAUAUGCACACACAAUCGUUUCAUGGUGCUCAUCAUAUAGUGAGCCCGAGUGG